Molecule: long non-coding RNA, 474 nt
Filed under: Cucumis sativus (cucumber)
Lineage: Eukaryota; Viridiplantae; Streptophyta; Magnoliopsida; Cucurbitales; Cucurbitaceae
Description: long non-coding RNA (CSAT_LNC001439)
Source: RNAcentral
AAUUACAAAAGCAAGGGCCAAGGGUUUAUACAACUUUAUAAUUGUCUGUCUGUACACAUAACGGCCUCUAUCCUUCCUUUCACUUGUGAGGGGCUGGAUUCUGCUCCCAGCUUCAGAAGCUUUCGUCCAUCAGGGUUUGUGGGUGCAGGUGGGUUCCUCCAACUCCAAACCAAAAUUAUUUGGAUUUCUUGGGUUGGAAAAGGAAAAUAGCAUUGAACACAAAUCAAACGAGUUGUGUUCCUCUCGAUCUGAACGAGCAUUUCAGUUGUGAAUUGUGGUUUGUUUUCCACUUCUUCUGUAUACAGUAACAAUUGUUUUGGAUCAGGAUAUCAACUGAGAACAAGGCAUUCGUAUGGGUGCGAAGACCACAGUGAGUCGUGCAUGGUCGGAAAGGGAGUAGUCCUCGGGCCACCUUCCUUUCUCAACUUCAGCAGGAAACAAGACUGCAUUUUCAACACUAAAACCAAUCGUUUG